AUUUGGAAAGAAUCAAAUUUUGGAAAAGGUGUGAUAAUUGGCGUGCUGGAUGGUGGAGUUUUGCUUGACCAUCCUUCAUUCGGUGAUGAAGGAAUGCCACCUCCACCGGAAAAAUGGAAAGGAAAAUCUGAAUUUACAGCCUGCAACAACAAAAUAAUUGGUGGAAGGUCCUUCAAUAUUGAUGGAAAUAUGACCAAGGGAAAGGGGGUUGAGCCACCUAAUGAUGAAGAUGGACAUGGGACUCACACAGCUAGCACUGCUGCAGGUCGGUUUGUAAACUAUGCUGAUGUGCUGGGAAAUGCCAAGGGUAUGGCCGCAGAGAUGGCACCACUUGCUCACCUGGCAAUUUAUAAAGUAUGCUUCGGAGAAGACUGUG
RNAcentral lists this long non-coding RNA (376 nucleotides) under Gossypium raimondii (Peruvian cotton). RNAcentral's name for it is "long non-coding RNA (GRAI_LNC003211)". The record is from RNAcentral. Lineage: Eukaryota; Viridiplantae; Streptophyta; Magnoliopsida; Malvales; Malvaceae.